RNAcentral lists this ribosomal RNA (465 nucleotides) under uncultured bacterium. RNAcentral describes it as "partial 16S ribosomal RNA". It matches the Rfam family "Bacterial small subunit ribosomal RNA", at positions 28 to 507 of the family's 1533-position model. The record is from RNAcentral.
GAUGAACGCUGGCGGCGUGCUUAACACAUGCAAGUCGAACGGAAAGGCCCCUUUGGGGCUACUCUAGUGGCGAACGGGUGAGUAACACGUGAGUAACCUUCCCUUGACUUCGGGAUAACUUCAGGAAACUGGGGCUAAUACCGGAUAGGAAUCCUUGCUUCAACGUGGGGGUUGUAAAGCUUCGGCGGUUUUGGAUGGACUCGCGGCUUAUCAGCUUGUUGGUGGGGUAGUGGCUUACCAAGGCGUUGACGGGUAGCCGGCCUGAGAGGGCGACCGGCCACAUUGGGACUGAGAGACGGCAGAGACGGGUACGGGAGGAAGCAGUGGGGAAGACUGCACAAUGGGCGGCGGCCUGAUGAAGAAGCGCCGCGGGCGGGAGGACGGUUUUAGGGUUGUAGAACGAUUUCAGCAGGGGCGAAGCUUGUGGUGACGGUACCUGCAGAAGAAGCACCGGCUAACUACGUG